RNAcentral lists this transfer RNA (57 nucleotides) under Dipodomys ordii (Ord's kangaroo rat). It matches the Rfam family "tRNA", at positions 8 to 63 of the family's 71-position model. Rfam says of the family: Transfer RNA (tRNA) molecules are approximately 80 nucleotides in length. Their secondary structure includes four short double-helical elements and three loops (D, anti-codon, and T loops). The record is from Rfam by way of RNAcentral. Lineage: Eukaryota; Metazoa; Chordata; Mammalia; Rodentia; Heteromyidae.
UGGCUCAAUGGUAGAGCGCUUGCCUUGCAUGCAUGAGGCCCUGGGUUUGAUUCCUUA